GAUGAAGAACGUAGCGAAAUGCGAUAAGUAAUGUGAAUUGCAGAAUUCAGUGAAUCAUCGAAUCUUUGAACGCACAUUGCGCCCCUUGGUAUUCCGAGGGGCAUGCCUGUUCGAGCGUCAUUACACCACUCAAGCUAUGCUUGGUAUUGGGCGUCGUCCUUAGUUGGGCGCGCCUUAAAGACCUCGGCGAGGCCACUCCGGCUUUAGGCGUAGUAGAAUUUAUUCGAACGUCUGUCAAAGGAGAGGAACUCUGCCGACUGAAACCUUUAUUUUUCUAGGUUGACCUCGGAUCAGGUAGGGAUACCUGCUGAACUUAAGCAUAUCAAUAAGCGGAGGA
Molecule: unclassified non-coding RNA, 337 nt
Filed under: soil metagenome
Description: partial contains 5.8S ribosomal RNA, internal transcribed spacer 2, and large subunit ribosomal RNA
Rfam family: 5.8S ribosomal RNA (bases 1-120)
Source: RNAcentral